This 719-nucleotide ribosomal RNA is filed under the name Gymnopilus picreus. Its description in RNAcentral is "eukaryotic LSU rRNA". It matches the Rfam family "Eukaryotic large subunit ribosomal RNA", at positions 87 to 792 of the family's 3401-position model. The record is from RNAcentral. Lineage: Eukaryota; Fungi; Basidiomycota; Agaricomycetes; Agaricales; Galerinaceae.
CUGCGAGUGAAGCGGGAAAAGCUCAAAUUUAAAAGCUGGUAGUCUUUGACUGUCCGCAUUGUAAUCUAGAGAAGUGUUACCCGCGUUGGACCGUGUACAAGUCUCCUGGAAUGGAGCGUCAUAGAGGGUGACAAUCCCGUCUUUGACACGGACUACCAAGGCUUUGUGGUGCGCUCUCAAAGAGUCGAGUUGUUUGGGAAUGCAGCUCAAAAUGGGUGGUAAAUUCCAUCUAAAGCUAAAUAUUGGCGAGAGACCGAUAGCGAACAAGUACCGUGAGGGAAAGAUGAAAAGAACUUUGGAAAGAGAGUUAAACAGUACGUGAAAUUGCUGAAAGGGAAACGCUUGAAGUCAGUCGCGUCGGCCGGGGAUCAACCUUGCUUUUGCUGGGCGUAUUCUCUGGUUGACGGGCCAGCAUCAAUUUUGACCGCUGGAAAAAGGUUGAGGGAAUGUGGCAUCUUCGGAUGUGUUAUAGCCCUUGGUCGUAUACAGUGAUUGGGAUUGAGGAACUCAGCACGCCGCAAGGCCGGGUUUUUAACCACGUUCGUGCUUAGGAUGCUGGCAUAAUGGCUUUAAUCGACCCGUCUUGAAACACGGACCAAGGAGUCUAACAUGCCUGCGAGUGUUUGGGUGGAAAACCCGAGCGCGUAAUGAAAGUGAAAGUUGAGAUCCCUGUCGUGGGGAGCAUCGACGCCCGGACCUGACCUUUUGUGACGGAUCUG